UUCUUGCGUCGCGACUGGCGUCUGGGUGGGUCACCACCGGGGAGCGGCCUCAUAGGAAUCGACCGCGCGCCUGGGCCGAUGAG
RNAcentral lists this non-coding RNA (83 nucleotides) under Microbacterium sp. RNAcentral describes it as "ZTP sequence". It matches the Rfam family "ZMP/ZTP riboswitch aptamer (pfl RNA motif)". Rfam says of the family: Previously known as pfl RNA. ZMP is also known as AICAR. Lineage: Bacteria; Bacillati; Actinomycetota; Actinomycetes; Micrococcales; Microbacteriaceae. The record is from RNAcentral.